Molecule: ribosomal RNA, 301 nt
Filed under: uncultured bacterium
Lineage: Bacteria
Description: partial 16S ribosomal RNA
Rfam family: Bacterial small subunit ribosomal RNA
Source: RNAcentral
CAGUCGCCACGGUAAUACGGAGGGGGCUAGCGUUGUUCGGAAUUACUGGGCGUAAAGCGCACGUAGGCGGCUUGGUAAGUUAGAGGUGAAAGCCCAGGGCUCAACCCUGGAAUUGCCUUUAAGACUGCCGAGCUAGUAGGUGAGAGAGGUAAGUGGAAUUCCGAGUGUAGAGGUGAAAUUCGUAGAUAUUCGGAAGAACACCAGUGGCGAGGGCGGCUUACUGGCUCAUUCUAGACGCUGAGGUGCGAAAGCGUGGGGAGCAAACAGGAUUAGAGACCCGAGUAGUCCCUGUCUCUUAUAC